CGCUGAAUAGACUGACUCAGAAGUGCACAUGAAUGGGCUUUCGCUGACCAAAUCGGGAAAUUUACAAAUAAGAAGGUAUCAACUGUCCAGUGGAGGUCAAGAAUAAAUUAUAAAUGGAGAACAAUUCCCAAGUGUCUGUGAAUACUACAACACAGAACAGCAAGGCACUUUCCAGUGAUGAAUAUUCUUAUUUUUCCUUGUCGAUGGAGGCAGAAAAUAUCACCAUGCACACCAAACCCCAGAAUUCCCAUCGGUCUUUAUGGAUGAAGCCCAGCUUAGGCCAUCUCUACUCCCAUGGUGCUUUUCAAUUCCUU
Long non-coding RNA from Chinchilla lanigera (long-tailed chinchilla), 314 nucleotides. RefSeq lists it as uncharacterized. Lineage: Eukaryota; Metazoa; Chordata; Mammalia; Rodentia; Chinchillidae. The transcript has 3 exons. The record is from RefSeq and is a predicted model, not a curated record.